UAAUAAGUGUUUUAUGGCACUUUUUAAAUCCAUAUCCACCUUGUGUGCAAUGUCAGUCGAUCUUCUUCAUGGAGAUCGACCAAACAUCAACCUUUAUCUUUUAACUCUUUGUCUGAAAAAUAUUAUGAAUAAACAAUUCAAAAUACAACUUUCAACAACGGAUCUCUUGGCUCUCGCAUCGAUGGAGAACGCAGCGAAAUGCGAUACGUAAUGUGAAUUGCAGAAUUCAGUGAAUCAUCGAAUCUUUGAACGCAUAUUGCGCUCUUUGGUAUUCCGAAGAGCAUGCUUGUUUGAGUAUCAGUAAACACCUCAAAGCUUUUGGAUUUUUUAAUCGAAAAGCUUUGGACUUGAGCAAUCCCAACACCAAUCUUUUUGAGAUCGGUGGCGGGUUGCUUGAAAUGCAGGUGCAGCUGGACAUUCUCCUGAGCUAAAAGCAUAUUCAUUUAGUCCCGUCAAACGGAUUACUACUUUUGCUGCAGCUAACAUAAAGGGAGUUUGACCGUAUUGGCUGACUGAUGCAGGAUUUCACAAGGGUCGGCAACGACUCUUGUUAAACUCGAUCUCAAAUCAAGUAAGACUACCCGCUGAACUUAAGCAUAUCAAUAAGCGGAGGAAUCGCCAACUUGGUCAUUUAGAGGAAGUAAAAGUCGUAACAAGGUUUUCGUAGGUGAACCUGCGAAAGGAUCAUUAACGAGUUAGGGUCCUCUAGGCCCGACCUCCCAACCCUUUGCUUACCGAACCUCUGUUGCUUCGGCGGGCCCGUCUCACGACCGCCGGAGGACCGCCGCAGGGCGUGUCCUCUAGCCCGUGUCCGCCGAUAGCCAACUACAAAACUCUGUAUAAAUCAUGUCUCAUGUCUAAGUCAAAUUGAAUUAAAAGCA
This 881-nucleotide unclassified non-coding RNA is filed under the name soil metagenome. Its description in RNAcentral is "partial contains internal transcribed spacer 1, 5.8S ribosomal RNA, and internal transcribed spacer 2". The stretch from base 147 to 300 matches the Rfam family "5.8S ribosomal RNA". The record is from RNAcentral.